AGUGAACGCUGGCGGUAGGCCUAACACAUGCAAGUCGAACGGCAGCACAGUAAGAGCUUGCUCUUACGGGUGGCGAGUGGCGGACGGGUGAGGAAUACAUCGGAAUCUACUUUUUCGUGGGGGAUAACGUAGGGAAACUUACGCUAAUACCGCAUACGACCUACGGGUGAAAGCAUGGGAUCUUCGGACCUUGCGCGAUUGAAUGAGCCGAUGUCGGAUUAGCUAGUUGGCGGGGUAAAGGCCCACCAAGGCGACGAUCCGUAGCUGGUCUGAGAGGAUGAUCAGCCACACUGGAACUGAGACACGGUCCAGACUCCUACGGGAGGCAGCAGGGGGGAAUAUUGGACAAUGGGCGCAAGCCUGAUCCAGCCAUACCGCGUGGGUGAAGAAGGCCUUCGGGUUGUAAAGCCCUUUUGUUGGGAAAGAAAAGCAGCAGGUUAAUACCCCGCUGUUCUGACGGUACCCAAAGAAUAAGCACCGGCUAACUUCGUG
RNAcentral lists this ribosomal RNA (492 nucleotides) under uncultured bacterium. RNAcentral describes it as "partial 16S ribosomal RNA". It matches the Rfam family "Bacterial small subunit ribosomal RNA", at positions 29 to 507 of the family's 1533-position model. The record is from RNAcentral.